Long non-coding RNA from Cannabis sativa, 694 nucleotides. RefSeq lists it as uncharacterized. The transcript is spliced from 4 exons. NCBI's taxonomy places the organism in Eukaryota, Viridiplantae, Streptophyta, Magnoliopsida, Rosales, Cannabaceae. The record is from RefSeq and is a predicted model, not a curated record.
AUUGGAUUGAUUUAAUUGGCAUUUUAUUUGAUGAGUGAUAAUCUGAAAUUAAUUGUGAAUUAUUUAUGCAUGAAAUGGCUAAAUUACCCUUGUGAGGGUGUAUGUGUGAAUUUAAGCCAUGGGGGCAAAAUGGUCAUUUGACCAUAUUUGAUUUACAUUGAUUAAAAGUUAUUUUUGGAGAAAAAUCAAAGUAAUUUUCUGGUUUUCACUCAAUCUUGGCCGACCCUUUCCCUCUCUCAAACCCUCUCUUAAUUUUCAACCUAAGUUUGUGAGAAAUAGCUUGAUUUUGUGGUGGAUUGUGAGGGAAAAUUUGUUGGAAGCUUGGUGCUAUCUUGUGCAAGGAAUUGAGGAUUACCGGCACCUGGUCAGGAGCACCCGGGGAUUUAGAAUCUCUACUAUUGCUGGACAUCAGGAUUACGGGCACCUGGUCAGGAGCACCCGGGGAUUUGGAAUCUCUACUAUUGCGGGACAUCAGGAAAGGGUAAGUCAGUGGCUGAUCAACCAUGAGUUUGAGGAGCAAGACGAAGAAUGUACAUGUUCAAGCCAUAUCAGACCAAGCGGGUUAAGGGUCUAUCAGUGAUGAACUUUUGAAUUCUAUUUUGCCGUUUAGGUCGGCUAGAAAGAAAUGACUUGUAAUAGCAUUUGUAAAUAUUUUUGGGAUCCCAACUGUUUAAAAGUUUAAAAAGUAUUACAA